RNA transcript from Oncorhynchus keta (chum salmon), 3422 nucleotides. It is a transcript of the gene named protein-tyrosine kinase 2-beta-like, with no coding region annotated. Lineage: Eukaryota; Metazoa; Chordata; Actinopteri; Salmoniformes; Salmonidae. The record is from RefSeq and is a predicted model, not a curated record. The transcript has 30 exons.
CAGAAGAUUUCUUCACUACCGGCUGUAAUAGUCACAAACACAAAUACAGACAGCAGAGAGAGAAAGGCCUGUAGGCUGUGCAUUAUCCUUUCACCGUCAUCUCCUCUCCGCCAUAAUAACGGGUGCAUGCAUGGCAGACUGUUAGGAUACAGCGCGGGUUUUAAGCAGGUGUGAAGUGGAGAUGCUGUGAGUGAGUGUGUGUACAUGUGAGUGUGUGUGUGUGUGUGUGUGUGUGUCGUGGUGACCGGGUGUGCUGUGAUGUCAGGUGACAGCAGCACAUUGUCUUGGAAGGGUGUGGAGACCUAUGGCCAAUCAAAGUCCUCGGACACUUCCCAGACGACGGUUGCCGGGGACGGCGGUCCAACUAAGAUCAUCAAAGUGUGUUUCACCAGCAACAGUGCUAACCUGGGGAAGAACUUUAAACUAGUCCGCUGUCAUGAGGGCAUGACUGUACGGAAUAUAAUAUCAGCGGUGUUGUCCAGUGGAUGUGUGGGUCCAGACAUACAACACUCCCUCUGCUACGGCCUGCUGCUGAAACACCUGAAGUCAGCUGAGGUCCAUUGGCUGCACCCCGACCUCACCGUGUCUGAACUGCGGCUACGCUACGAACAACAGCAUCUGGAGGCAGAGUGGAGAUAUGACCUGCGCAUUAGGUACGUCCCUGCCGACUUCAUAGAGAAGUUUAAAGAGGACAGAACCACACUGCUCUACUUCUACCAGCAGGUGAGAAGUGACUACAUGCAGCACUAUGCCAGUAAAGUCAGUGAUGGGAUGGCUUUGCAGUUAGGUUGUCUGGAGAUCAGGAGGUUCUAUAAAGACAUGAACCCCAAUGGACUGGAGAAAAAGUCCAACUACGAACUGUUAGAGAAGGAUGUAGGACUGGGUCUGUUCUUCCCCAAGGAGAUGACUGACAACAUGAAGUCGAAGGCUUUGCGUAAGAUGAUUCAGCAGACGUUCCAGAGGUACUCGUGUCUGAAGGAAGAGGAGUGUGUUGUGAAAUUCUUUACCACGCUAGCAGACUGCUGUGACUACAUACAGGAGAGUUUCACCUGUCAGUUAGUGCAAGGCUGGAGUCUGACGGUGGACCUGGUCAUUGGCCCCGAGGGGAUCCGCCAGCGUGCAGAUAAAAACUCUGUGCCUGUCUGCUUGGCCAGUUUCUCUCAGGUCCGCAGUAUCAGAUGCUCUCAGCAGAACGAUGGCCAAGCGCUGCUAACAGUUGACAUACAGGGAGCCAAGCAGCCUCUGUCGGUGACCACGGCCUGUCUUGCUACAGCUGAAAACAUGGCAGACCUGAUAGACGGCUACUGUCGACUGGGAACCUCCUCUGAUACCUCCCUCAUCAUCACAACUAACAAAGAGAGAGACUCCAGUUUCGCCCUGCCUGCUAUCCCUACAGGAGGGAGUAAAGAUGUCCCCGGGAAGAGUGUAAACAACAGACGAGGUGUAGGUUCAGACAUCUACGCUGAGAUCCCAGAGGAGAAGCCAGACUCUGGGUGCAGGUAUAGCCUCUCCAGAGAUGAAAUUUACCUGGGUCGUAUCCUGGGUGAGGGCUUCUUCGGAGAGGUGCAUGAUGGAGUCUACAAAAGCCCGGCAAGGGAGCGUGUGCGUGUAGCAGUAAAGACAUGUAAAGACUGUUCUGAUGACGUAAAGGAGAAGUUUAUGAGUGAAGCUGUGUUGAUGAAGACUCUAGAUCAUCCUCACAUUGUACGUCUGAUCGGGGUCAUUGAGGUGGACCCUGUGUGGAUCGUCAUGGAGCUGUACGAGCACGGAGAGUUGGGCACCUACCUUGUGGAGCAGCAGAGGUCUCUGACCAGUGUGACUCUGGUCCUGUAUAGUCUCCAGAUCUGUAAAGCCCUGGCGUACCUGGAGGGGCUGAACAUGGUACACAGAGACAUAGCUGUGAGGAACGUGUUGGUGGCGUCUGCAGACUGUGUCAAACUGGGAGACUUUGGGCUGUCACGUUACGUAGAAGAAGAAGACUACUACAAAGCUUCUCUUAGCAGAUUACCUAUCAAAUGGAUGGCUCCAGAAUCCAUCAACUUCAGACGCUUCACCACAGCUAGUGAUGUCUGGAUGUUUGGGGUGUGUGUGUGGGAGGUGAUGUCCCUAGGUCAACAGCCGUUCUUCUGGUUGGAGAACGGGGAGGUGAUCAACCAACUAGAGGGUGGUGUCCGUCUGCCCAAACCCUCCCUCUGUCCCCCCACACUCUACACACUUCUCACACACACCUGGAGUUACGACCCACACACACAGACCCUCCUUCACACAGCUGGUCUGCAAGCUCAGUGAUAUUCAUGGGAUGGAGAAGGAGCAGGAGGGAGAGAGGAAGAGACAGAGAGCUCGAGUCAUGACACCCUACGACUCCAAGACCACUGAGCCCCCACCCAAGCCAUCAAGAAAACCUGGUUUCCAUAGCAACACCCUCAGGCCUGGCAUGAGAAUACAGCUACCUGGGUCUCUGUGUGCCAGCUCUCCUGUCCUUGCUAGCCCCCCCAGGGCCUGUGAUGUCACCACAGCCUAUCCCACGUCUCCACGACGAUGCAGUGUCGGGGAGCCAUGUGGGGUGGGGGAUGCGAGGUCUGUCUGGGAGAGGGAGAGGGUGGAGGAUACUCUUCGUAGACAAAGAGAGGACAUGCUGACAGACAGCCGGUGGCUGGAGCAGGAGGAGAAACACCUGGAUCCUGUUCAACAGGAGUUCAGAACAGCUACGCAUGAGGAGGAGCCAGCAGACCAAGCCACACCUCCUCCAGACAAACCCCCAAAGGCCUCAGCUCCACAGCCUACAGCCACGGCAGAACUCGACAGGACAGAUGACCAGGUGUAUGUGGGCGUCAUGGCGAUGGUGAGAGAUGUGGUGCAACUGAAGAAUGAUGUCAACACACUGCCCCCCUCAGAAUACCCCAACGCUGUCAAGGCCGUGGGGUUAACUCUUCGAAGUCUGAUCCAUAGUGUUGAUGAAGUUCUACCAUCACUGCACAGCUCUGCCAGAACAGAGAUCGAGGGAACUGAGAGGCUACUGAAUAAGGAUCUGGGGGAGUUAAUCGCUAAGAUGAGAUUGGUCCAGCAGAACUCUGUGACAUCACUGAAGGGGGAGUGUCAGAGGCAGAUGUUGGGAGUCGCCCACACCUUGGCCCUGGACUCCAAGAACCUUCUAGAUGCCGUGGACCAGGCUAGGAUUAAAGCUAACCUGGCCAUGCCAUAAACCACACACACACACUUCACUUCCUUCAUGUACCUUAUAGAACAUUUUACAGAUGCAGAUGUAGAUUUUCAGUAAGACGUUUAGCAGAGCUUGUUGUCUCUAUUUGAAUGUGUUCUAUAUUUUACUGUUUGGGCUUUUUUUUACUGUGUCUUAUUGUAGAUGUUUGGUACGGAGAGACAGAGAGAUAGUAAAUAAACAGUGUUUCAUCAUGGUAAUUAAA